GACAGCAGAAAGCUUGAUGCAGGGCUCGAACCUAUGACCCAUAAGAUCGUGACCUGAGCCGAAGUCGGAUGCUUCACCUACUGAGCCACCCAGGUGCCCCUUUGCCCACAUUCUUAAAAGCCCUGAAAGGAAUCUCUUGUCUGGACUCCAACACCACCUCACCCCGUUCUCUGUUUUCUCCAGACUUCCUUCCUUCCUUCCUUCCUUCCUUCCUUCCUCCCUCCCUCCCUCCCUCCUUCCCUUCCUUCCUUCCUCCCUCCCUCCUUCCCUUCCUUCCUCCUUCCCUCCCCCCUUCCCUUCCUUCCUUCCCUCCUUCCUUCUGUCUACCAGUCAGAGAUUUUCUCGUGACUCCCAGGCCCAUAGUAUGGCCUUAACCUUUAACCUAAGCUCAGAGGAACCAGUGAGGUGCCAACAUCCACAGAGAUCGUAAGCACUACGAAACCAUUUGUUUUAAAAACUAAACUCUUCUCCUAAUUUUAUCCUCCCCACGCAAACAAAUAAAACAACCUGACUUCUUUUUUAUUUCUUACCAUCAUUGAAAAACAACAUGUAUCUCCCUGCCUGUUGCUUGGGUGAGGGGCCUUGAGUUAGCUGCAGUUUCACCCCUUGUCUCUGAGCAUGACAAACGCUUCUGAAGAAGCCAUUGAUUCUCCCUCUCCUCCUGCUGCUAUCAGUCCUGGGCUCCAGCCCUCGCCCUCUCCAGCCCAUGUACAGCUCUCUAGAACACAGGAUCAGUCUGCAGGGCCCCCCAUCUCUGGGCCAUUCUCUGCAUGGAUUUCAGAGUUUUUCCAGAACCUGGCCCUGACUGGGACAUUCCCUGCCCGUAGACGGAAGAGCUUCCUUUGUCUCAAGAUGAAGGAGGAAGCAUUUCCAGGCCCAGUGAAAUCUGGCCUCCACCGGUCAACUUCCGCACUCUUCAUUUCUGGCUACUCUUCCCCACCCCAUGAUCUAGUCACACGUCUGCUCUUCUCUAAAUGCCCUGUGCAUGCGCGCAUGUCUGAAUCCUUGCUCCCCAUUUCCGUCUGUUGGAAUCCAUCCCGUGUCCUCUCUACCCAGCAAGUUCCCACUCAUCCUCAAUGCCACUGAAGCCACGGUGAAGUCCGAGUCUCCCUUCUCUGGACUCUUGCAAAAUACCUGUACUGUAGUGCGUAUCACAACACGCUGUGUGCGUGCACACUUCUGGCUCACCCUCGUUAGAUUGUGGACCCCUUGAGAAGCACUGUCUUUGAACCCUCACCCCAAACAGGAAAACUUCGUCCUUUGUUAUUCUUUGUUCGUAUCUUACUCUUUUCCUCGACUAAAUUCUCCACUUAUAAUGGAAAAGUUGGGCGGGUUCCUCAUAGCCUACUUAAGACCAUUGAUCCCAAAGAUGGCAAGACAGAAUGAAGUGUGAGACAGAAGGACUGGAAAUAUGGCUCAGAUGGUGUCCUCUGGGUGACCGUCUUUCUCUAAGGUCACAUAUUCUAAGAAUGGAUACUCUGAGAGUUUGAGAACCCUUGAGAGCUCCAGAUGGAUGACAAAACCAGUUCUCGUGCCUAGCUUUUAUGUGACUCUUGCUGCAAGUUCAGGGGCUCCGGGGACGGGUAGGGGCGGGGGAGGAAAUCCUUGAAAUUCUGGUUUCUUUUCUCCUCUGUUAUUAAAUGGCUGUAGUAAAAGCCAUGUCCACAUCAUUCUGUAAAGUAGUCCGAAGGCAGAGAGGGCAAAGGAGACCUUGCAUCUUUCAUUUACUAAAAUGAUGCAUUAUUUUUAUCAGAAAGGGAGAGAGAAAAACAUGUAAGCCUGAGAGAAUCUCACAGGAGUCCCGACGGAUCCCAUGCCCAGCGCCGCUGAGUAGGAACACGUAUGGAAUGGUGUGUGGGAUUGGUAGCACGUAUAAAUAUAUUUGUGUGUACACACACAUGAUCAGAAAUCCAGCCGGUAUUUGUUGAAUAACCAGGUGUGCAGCGUGAGUGCGUGUGUGUGUGUGCGUGCGGGCGUGUGCGUGCGUGUGUGUGCAUGCAUGUGUGUGCGUGCGGGUGUGUGCAUACGUGCCACAUGCUUUUCCUUUCAGUCAUUUGUGUGACCCCAUCUCAGCUUUCUAGCACAUUCUGGACAGUGGGGAGGGGGAAACGGACUUUUUUUUUUCAGAAGCUAAUUUACCUUGUGAGGGCAAAGCUCCAUUUUAAUUGAUUCUCUCUUUCAAGAUCCAAGUAACCUAUAAUCUCCACUCAAUUGUCAAUAUUUUGCCGGCAUCAUCCCUCAGCCUUUAACAUGCAGAUAGAGCGGGGAAAAAAGCGGCUGUCGUAGCUCAGGAUGAAAAACAAGAGCGGCUCAGGUAUUCAGAAGCCACCCAAACAUCAGAGGUUUCCACGAUGCUCGGCUGUGCAUGGCAUCCCAAACAGAGUGGGAGAAGAUAUUCCCACUGGACAUUUUGAGGUGCCUUUUGGGCCAGUUCCAGGUGGCUUCCAGCACACUCCCAGGCGCGAUUCUAGCAGCAGGUCACUGGGAUAGGGAUGGCAAUGGUCCGGGGCCUUCUGCGGAGGCAAAGAGGACACGUAGGGAUAGCAGUGCAGCAGGGAGCACUCCCUGACUCUACUCACUGGGUCUUUCAGCAGCCCCUCAGAGCCAUGGCUCUUCCCCGGGGAAGAGCCUGGGAGGUGAGACCUUGGGGUUUUAUGGUGACUCCACAGAGAGCUGCAUGGGUCACCUGUGACAGGAAAAAUCUCAGGUUAACAAAGGAGACUCUAUGAUGAUAUCGGGUACGUGCUAGGAAUGCUUAGUGUUAACAUUCAUUCUCACAACCCAUGAGCCAGACAGUCUUCUCCCCAUCUUCCAGAAGAGGAAACUGAACUGUUUGGCUAAAGUGGCCCAACCAGCAGGUGGCCGAUCCAGGUUUCAAACCCAGCUGUACCUGCUCCUGCCCUUCGUUACCAGCAGGGCAUCGUGGGCCUCCACUGUCCUAUUAAUCAGCAUCUCCGCUCCUGGGGAGGUGGGCUGGGGCUUGAUGUGACAUGUGGACGAGGAGUCUAAGGCCUGGGGACAUGGAAGAAGGGGAGGGUCACGCAGGGCUGGACGCCAGGGGAAGACGGCCAGAGCGUCUCGGUGUGAUGACCGUCCUGCAUAAGACAGUUUGGAUUCUGGACGUGGAUGUCCCAAGUCCGGGUGUGUCUGUUUUCUGUUGGCCUCAACCUGGCCGACAGCCCUAUUCUCCGAUUGCUGCACACUCAAUGAGGAAGGCAGGUGCUGGGAACGCACAGUGGCAGAAGGGGGAAGGAGAAGACAGGUACUUGCACUCAUAGGGCCUUGGCCAGGGAGCAGUGGAAGAGACGUGAGGGAAGGAGAUGCUUUGAAGGCUCUUAACUUGGCCAAGUCCCCAGUGGCGACUCUGGGAUAUUGGCCGUCCUGAGCCCUGUGGAGAACGAAGCCAGGGGACCGGGGGUCAUUGACAGCAGGGAGACUUAAUACCAGGGAGGAGAGGGCAGACUGGGCAAGCUCCCAGUCACUGACAUCUGCUCUCCAGAUCAACCCUUGUGCUGAGCUCACUCUAGUCCGAUGGCCUCUUCCAUUUAAUCCAUAAAUCCCCCUGCUGCCUCACGUGGCCUCUAUGACUCCAUGCCUCUGUCGUGGGGUAGCCACGGAACUUUUCUGCUGUCCUCUCCAUCCCUUUUACACUCCCAGGCUCCCAUCACUGACUUGCGUGCUGGAGAAAAGCCGAUGCUUGCUGCUGCCUGGAAGCCUCAUCGUGACCGUGUGGCCCCCACGCACCUGUCAGGACACAGGCACACGUGCAGUAGAUCCCACAGCAUUGACAGCCUGAGGAAAGGGCAGGAGAACCUUCCAGUUACCAGUAGAUUGUAAUGGUGUGUGGCAGGGGGAGGGGUGGCAGGGGUGCAUCUCUGAAAGGGAUGGCAUGAUCCUGUCAACCUUCUCCCUUUUCCUUGUGGAAGGAAGGAGGGUGGAAAAGCACACAGCAGUCUCCAGGAGAGCCCCUCUCAAGACCCUGUGCACCCCCUUUUGCUUUUCCCUGAAGCACAGCCCCGAGGGAUUUCCUUUUAUUCUUUUCCUGCCUCUCUUACCACACUAAACACACACACACACACACACACACACACACACACACACGGCCACAAUGAAUGUCCGUGCUGUUGCAAAGUGAAAUGUGCUAACAAGAGCCUCCAUUCUCAAGAUCCAGAGAAACCAGGAGGGGUGGAGAAAUGAGGGGAGUGUGUUAGUGAGACAGGGGUGAGCACACAGCCGGCUUCCAGUCACCGCCAUCAAGCCAUGGCAGGGGUGAGGGGGGGCAUCAGGGCAGCCACAUUUGCUUAGAAAGACAGGGACUUUAAUGGAGCAAAGAGUCUGUGUUUUUCUCUUUUUUUAACGUUUAUUUCUUUUUGAAGGAGAGAGAUAGAGCGUGAGUGGGUGAGGAGCAGAGACGGAGGGAGACACAGAAUCCCAAGCAGGCUCCGGGCUCUGAGCUGUCAGCACAGAGCCGGACACAGGGCUCGAACCCACGAACCUUGAGGUCUGACCUAAGCCAAAGUCGGACCUUCACCGACUGAGCCACCCAGAUGCCCCGAGUCUGUUUUUUCCUUUAACCCUUCCAGAUCCCCCAGAUGACCCUGCCUUUCAGUAAACGCUCCUCUGGGCCAGUUUCAGGGAGGAAGUAAACAGAAGCUGAAGAGCAGCCUGUGGGUUGAGUAUGUGAGGCCAAAUACGUUCCUUAUGGCAAAUGAGCAAAUACAAUAAUGACAUAACAUUAGUGGGCAUUAGACUUCCUGUGUGUCUGGAAAUCCUCUUAUGUUAGAUCCCAAUCAUUUUGUUCAUUGAACAAAUAUUUUUGGAGCACUUGAUAAGCAUCUGGCACCACGUUAGGUGCUGGGAGGGAGCUCUCUGAAGGAUAUAAUCAGGAGAGUUAGAAGGCCUGAUGUGUGUUUUGAAAGGUCAGUCUCUCUACAGUGAUGAGGAUAGAUGAGCCAGAAGAGGAAAUGAAGGCAGGAAAUCAGUUGGGCGGAUUCAUCCAGGUGAGAGAUGGUGCUGGCCUGAGCUAAGAAAGUGGGGAAGGAACAGAGGGGUAGAGUCAGGACAUGUGUGAUCCACCAGCCACAAAAUCCUUGUUUAUUAUUUACUCUCCGUAAGGCACAAGUGUUGGGAAUGCAGUGAUACAAAUAUUUAUGAGUAAGAUACAAAGAAUGCAGGGAUCGCCCGUAAGGAAAAGAAGAUGCCAUAGACGACUGGCACUCUAGUUUCUGGGUGGACAGAAGAGCCAUUCACGGUGAUGGAGAUCAUGAGGAGGAGAAGGUUUGGGGGCAAAACCCUGAGUUCCAUUUUUGACAUGUUGAGCCGGAGUUGCUUCCGGGAUCUCCAAUUAGAGAUGUCCAGGAAAAAGUGUGGCUGUAGGGGGCUGGGGCUUCAGAAAAGAAUGAGCUUUGGGGUUAUGGAAAGAGCCUCGGCAGAAUCCUCAGUGAAUGCCAACAUUGAAGAAAAGGGUUAAAAGAAAAAAUAGGAGUCCAUGAGUGGACUGGGAAGAAACAUCCAGAAAAGUAACAGGAAAACAGGGAGAGCAUGCUGUCAUAGAUGUCAAGGCAGGAUUGGUUCAGUGAGAGAGAGAUGACUCUAGUGACAUUGAGACAACCCGUGGCCAUUGGAAUUCAGAGCCACAAGGUCAGUUAAACCUCAGAGAAAGAUGUGUAGGAGGAAGCAUAGACACAGACACUGAGAGGAGAAAAUGGGGAAGUGGCUGCAGAGGAAUACCAGGUGAAGGGACAGUUGUCAGUGCCGCCCUGUUUUUAAGAUGGGAGAUGUUGUCACAUAUGUGAAUCCUAUGGGGAAGAAGGAGAGAGGGGUGAAAUGGACAGGGCUCGGACGUUGAGGACGUUGAGGAGUUGGAGGACGGAGAAUCCGCACCACAGAUGGAAGGAUUAGCCUUUCACUUGUCUCAUAUAACAGGAGGGAAGGUGGGACAUGUGAGUACGGGUGAAGUCAAGAUGAGGAGUUUGGAUAUAAGACAUUGAGAAAAUACUUAUCUGGUGACAUCUGCUUUCUCUGGGAAGCAGAGAGAGGUCGUCUGCUGAGAGUGGGAGCCAGGCAAGAAGCAGUAAAGUUUAAGAAGAGUGGAGAAUGUUUGAUUUAGCCUUUGUGGGGAGUGGCAGGGAGUGUGCUUCUAACCAUAGAAGCACAGAGGUAUUGGGGAGACGGUGUCGGAGGGGGCAUCUAAGGUCGCAGAUCAGACAUACAAAUGUGGCCAAUCCGCGUGCUGGGAUGAUUAUCUCUGGCUCCUUGCAGCUUCCCAGGAUUAGGCACAGAGGAGGGAGAUCGUGAAGUGAUCUGGGGUUGGGGCUUUCUAGGAAGGUAAGCAUUAGGGACGAGCGGUAAAUGCGCUGGAUGAAGCUAUGGACCAUGGAGUCUGAGCUGCAUAGGGAAGAAAGUGAAUGUAUGGGGUGGGGUCUGUAGGUUAGGGAGAGAGUAAGGAGGCCAUAGAGGGAGGUUUCAGUGAUGACCAAGAACAUCACGGUCUUAAAACUUACUCUGGGAAAUAGGCAAGUGAGACCAGGAAAAUCAGGAAGCUGUGAACAGGAAAUAAAGUGUCUACAUUUAUCCUUCCAGAAAAAAAGGGCCAUGACACUGCCCCACAAGGGAAAAAAAAAAAAUGAAUGCCAAGAGCAUCUCCUCCCAUGAUGACUUCUUUAACUGGAAUCGCAAAUCCAGAUAGCAAAUGGAUUAAUUCCACAGUGAAGGGAGGAUCCUUGACUUCACAGAGACUUAACUGUACCUUUUGUUUAUCAGUGCAGUGAUUUGACGGUAAUUAUUAUAAUGCUCUGCCUUUAUCUUUGUCUAAUCAAUAGGUCUCUUGGGAUCUAUAGAUACAUGUUAUGGUGAUAAAGAAAGGACAUUUCAUGGAUAGAGGCAGCAGUGGGAGGGCGUACCAGAUUGUGGGAAGGCAAUAAAGCAUGGUAGUUAAAAGCAGGAAUUCAGGGGUCAGAUUCCUAACCUAGCCACUUAUCGUCAUUUUGGCUUUAGGAAAGUUAUUUCAUCUUUCAAGAGCUUCCCGCUUAUGCGGUAUGGAGAAAAAGUACUUCACGGGAGUGAUGUGAAGGUUAAUGGAUAGAAUUAAAACAUGAAAUUAAAUAAUAGAAACACAUUUAGUUUCUUAUCAGGCACGUAGUAAUUGCUCAAUAAAUAACAGUGAUGGUAGUAAUGUUGUCACUGCUGACAGUGGAAGGGUAAGCUAGAGUCUAGGUACGUGUCUAGGUGUCCCCGUCACGCCUGCGUUUUCCUCGGCCAGCUCAGCCAAUCCCACACAGCCUCUACGGUUCGACCCCUGUCUGCUCCAGCGGCUCCUGCCUGCCCUUUCCGGAAGCCUUAAACGCCUCCACAUCUAAUCUGAAAGUCCCGUACUCCUAUUUCACCCGUAUCAGGCAAAGUAUUUCUCUUCCAGACCACAGCUGACUGUGUGAGUUCAAAGAGCUUCUGCACAACUGGCUUCGCUAAACUGAAGCGUGUCCCUGGCACGACAGCUUGAACAACCAAAUAGCCUGAUCUCAGCUCUGUUAUCUCCGCUAGCCAGAGAAGCGGGCCUGCCGCUGUGUUGAGGCCUUGGGUGGUGGUGGCUCGACAUCAAGGACCUCGUUAUCGAUGAUUCUAAUUGGUAUUCCUCACCAUGGCCAGAGCUGCCAAGGUUUAAAGUAGCUUCCAUCCUCCAGAUCCAUAAACUUGCCCUUGGCUUAUUGAGCCAACCACACUAGUUUAACAGAAGUGAUUUUAAUUACUUAACUGGAGCUACAGAAAGGAGGAAGUGAGGAGACUAUGUGGCUGUGAUCAGUGUUUAACCAAAGGGCCCGGAAUUCUCCUGUCUUGGGAGCAAAGACAUUAACGAUGGCUCUACCUACCGCAGUGUUCUCUCCCACCCGCUACGCGCAAGCAUCCACACGGAGGCGUCACACUUACUGAAAUUCACAGAGGUCCUGUACCUUGAUUCUACAAGUUGCACAUGUAUUUACUGCUUGGAAGGUGGUGAAAACUUAAGUGGAUGCGAUAAAAUUGUAAUUUCCUUUGGUCUGUAACAAUAUACCUCUUUGCCCCUGCUAGGAAUGACUUUCAGUUCUAAUUCUUACUCUCUCUAAUGAAAACGGACCAGGAAGGCCUGGCACAUGCUUGCUGCGAUCCGUUGGUACUGGCUGCCUUUCAUUAAUGUAGGGAAAGAUGCGAUAAAGAACACUGUACUCGAUUAGGAAUGUCUGCCACAGGCACAGGCGUGAGGAAUGAAGUAUCCUCUGUGUGUACUUGUGAUCCCUAUCUUAGAUUUUAAACUUCUAGGUGGCAGGGAAUGGAUUAUCUUGGUUCUGUGUGUAAAUGUACCUAACAUAUGUCAUGAGUUACUGAUGGUGAUGGCAAAGACUAUGCAGAAAUACAGUAAUUUAACUGGUUAGCUAAAAUCUGGUGAUUGCCCUCCAGCCCAUAAGCUUGCUCAUCGCCUUGUCAGAGAAUAAGCAACUCCGUUUACAAAAGACUUCAUUCCUUACACUAAAACUGCUUCGAUAGUCUAAGCACUGUCAUAAAUAUUAGACAACAAAAUGUCAACAUAAAUGAAGGGGGAAGUUUUGUGGUGUGGCAAAACUUCUCUUCUGCUAUUAAAUCAUGUUUAUUUGCUUACUUGCAAUUUGCUGGAUGUCCCCAGCAUCCAGUGAUGUUUUUGAGGCUCAGCUGGACAGGAGAGGGAGUAGCAUUCUGAGCAAAUGAAGGACAAGCAUUCCUUUUGCCUCGGUACUAUCUGCCUCACUUGAAUUGCAUGUCCUUCAACGGCUGUAUCGUGGGUCUCUGUCUCUCCUCUGAGAGGCAUGUAUAUCAUUGUGUCCUAACCUCGUAUUUCUGAGAAUGCACAAAACCAGUUUCCCAGGCAGCAAUAAACGUGCCAGAUAUCGGUGCAGACUCUUAUGGGAGCCUGGCUCGAGGAGAUGGGUCACAAAAUCUAAACUCUGCCCCAUCCCCAUAAGCUGCGUAAUCACAGCCCAAAUGAAAUAGAGGGCUCAGUGAUGACCAGAGGCACAGCCCGGUUGGGGGGAGGAAUAGGCAUCCCGCUGCCUCUGUCAUCCCAUUCUCCAGAAACUUCACCCUGAUUCUUGAAGUCCAUCGCUAAGCUUAGGAAAUUAGGGGAGGGCACAAAGUGAAUAUGUGUUGCAACCAGAAAUCAUGGCGGCCACCAAAAAAUUUAUACUGAGAACUAGACUUUUUCAAUUCAGCAUUAUUCAUCACCACAAAACUUACACCUGUGUGGUGAUGGAUGGUCCCUGCAGGAGCAACUCCUGGAGAACCCCUACCUGCCUUCGAUCAUGGCCUGCAGGGGAAGCGUCAGACUUAGGGAGGACCUGGGACGCUUGGUCGGGCAUGGUUAUCUGUCUAAACCUUCAUGUUCUUUUCCCAGGUGUAAAAAUGAGCAGGUUGACGAGUUGGCCACUAAUGUCCUUUCUAGCUCCAAUGUGUCAGUUUAAUUAAGACUUAAAUUCAUAUUCAAUAAAAUUUUAGCUAACAUUCAUUCAAAGUUGGAAUCACCCAUCCCUGAUCUAUAUUAUUAAGUGUGUUUGUUUUGCUUUUUAAUGAAGAAGGAAAAAGCUUUCUGCAAUUAAGUUGCACAGCCCGGCUUUCCACACUGAUUAGCUGACUGUGACGAACUUUGUCAUAGUCUCAGAGAAUGUUCGGUACUGUCUGUCUCUCUUGUGGGCUUUUGUUUUGCUCCUGAGAAGAUAUGACCUUCAUGAGUGGUUCUCAAAGAGUGGUCCCAGGACCAGCAGUGUCAAUAUCGCCUGGGAACUUAAUAGAAAUGCAGAUUCUGGUUCCUUCCUCGAGAUGUGAAUUGACACACUGGCUAGAGCUCAGAGAUUUGUAUUUUAAUAAAUCUUCCAGGUGAUUUUAAGACAUGCCAAACCUUCAGAAACACUGACCUACAGGGAAAAACAAUAGUACAUGCUGAGAAUCAGGGGACCAGUUUUCCCACUGACCGGCCAUGAGAUCUUAAGCUAUUCACAGUAAACUCAGGAUGACUUUGCCUUUGUUACCCACCCAGGGUAUCAGCAGAAUGCAACUUGUUGGUAGGUGUGGAAGUGCUGUAAAAGGUUGAAUGUAUCUUACAUAUGAUUCGACUUUCAUUUGUUCGUUCAUUGAACAAAUAUCAUUCAUCAUCUGUCUGUGCCAGAGAGCGUUCUAGGUGCGAAGGAUGCUACAUGAAGAAGACGGACGAGGCCCUUGCUGUCAUGGAGCCCGCAUCCUAGAAUGGAUCCUUUGUGAAACGUUUUGAUAGUUGCAAGCAGUUAUAUGAUCCAUUUCAAGAUUAGGUUCAGGAUUCUCAAGGGAAUGAGAAACUGUGAAAUGCUCCUACCUAAGAAGAGUAAGAUCGGGUUAUGUCAGGCAUAACAAGGAACCCGUUGACUUAAAGCAAUGUCGGCCUCCAGGAAACAGCACAGGGCGACAUUUAACACUUGUCAAGCUGGGUCUUGCCUUGAUGAGACAGGAGACUUGAGAGAAUGAUACUCCCAAGUUUCAUCCAGUUUAUGAUACUACAGUUCUACCCUCUUCAUGUGAGUCAACUGUUCUGGCUUGUCUUGCACAAACCUGUACAUUAAAAAGAGUAAAGCAAAGCAUAUAUAUACUUCCGGAGCCUUUUUCCAGAAUCAUAAUUGACCAGAUGUCUACCAUCUGAGAUGUGGGCCCAACGAGAAUAGACAAAUGUUCCUCAGAUGGAUGGGCCCCCAAACAAACUUUUAGAAUUGGGGUUUUCAUCCUUGGCCACUAUCAUUGACAAGCGGCUUUUUUUUUUUUCUUUUUAAAACCAGAGCUAAAAUUCAAUUUCCUAAAUUUUAUGAAAAGAAAUGAAAAAUAUGCUUGGGGGAAAAGAGUGGCUCAAGAGAGUUUUUGGACUUCAAAAACCGUCAAAAAUCUUUUAAUGAUUUAACUGUAAAGGAAUCAGAAACACACUGAUGAAAUCCCCCUUGAUAUCCACAUGGUGCUUACAGAUUCUGGAGGGAAGAUUCCAGCAAUGAAAUCUGCCGGUUUUUUUUAUCAAACCCAAACCAUUCGAGAUGCCUGGUGAACUCCAAUAUGAUGUAAUCUUAUCUUUUUCAUAACAAUCCUUUCUCCCCAAAGACAGAAGGGGAAGGAAAGGCCUAAUUAAGGAACGUUGGUUUUUAAGGUCAGAGUCUUCGGGGGAUAUCAAGUUAUCAUAUGCCGAGUUGCUUGUGAUGUUUACACUGACCCACAGAUGUGCCGUGAAUGUACAAAAUUAAAAUGUUAAUUGUC
Molecule: long non-coding RNA, 11265 nt
Organism: Felis catus (domestic cat)
Lineage: Eukaryota; Metazoa; Chordata; Mammalia; Carnivora; Felidae
Exons: 2
Source: RefSeq, a predicted model, not a curated record